This 240-nucleotide unclassified non-coding RNA is filed under the name soil metagenome. RNAcentral's name for it is "partial contains 5.8S ribosomal RNA, internal transcribed spacer 2, and large subunit ribosomal RNA". The record is from RNAcentral.
AACCUAGCACACCUGCGGUGUGUACCUGCGGAAGGAUCAUUACCGAGUGUGGCCCCCUUUCUAAGAGGGGUACCUCCCGUCCUUUGCAGGCCCUUUUUUAAGGGGCUUUUUGACUUUGCUUCGGCGGGUUUAACCCCCCGCCGGGACACCCUCAAGAAAAUCUUUUAAUAAACUUUUGUUGUCCGAGUUUACUUGCGAAUAAAUCAAAACUUUUAACAACGGAUCUCAGAUCGGAAGAGC